CUUGCCUUAACAGGAAGCCAGUGUAGGGAGGCUAGCACUGGAGUAAUAUGAUCAAAUUUUUUGGUUCUAGUCAGGAUUCUAGCAGCCGUAUUUAGCACUAACUGAAGUUUGUUUAGUGCUUUAUCCGGGUAGCCAGAAAGUAGAGCAUUGCAGUAGUCCAGCCUAGAAGUAACAAAAGCAUGGAUUAAUUUUUCUGCGUCAUUUUUGGACAGAAAGUUUCUGAUUUUUGCAAUGUUACGUAGAUGGAAAAAAGCUGUCUUUGAAACAGUCUUGAUAUGUUCUUCAAAAGAGAGAUCAGGGUCCAGAGUAACGACGAGGUCCUUCACAGUUUUAUUUGAGACGACUGUACAACCAUCCAGAUUAAUUGUCAGAUUCAACAGAAGAUCUCUUUGUUUCUUGGGACCUAGAACAAGCAUCUCUGUUUUGUCCGAGUUUAAAAGUAGAAAGUUUGUAGCCAUCCACUUCUUUAUGUCUGAAACACAGGCUUCUAGCGAGGGCAAUUUUGGGGCUUCACCAUGUUUCAUUGAAAUGUACAGCUGUGUGUCAUCCGCAUAGCAGUGAAAUUUAACAUUAUGUUUUCGAAUGACAUCCCCAAGAGGUAAAAUAUAUAGUGAAAACAAUAGUGGUCCUAAAACGGAACCUUGAGGAACACCGAAAUUUACAAUUGAUUUGUCAGAGGACAAACCAUUCACAGAGACAAACUGAUAUCUUUCCGACAGAUAAGAUCUAAACCAGGCCAGAACUUGUCCGUGUAGACCAAUUUGGGUUUCCAAUCUCUCCAAGCUUGAAACCCUAGGCCUAUAUGUAUUGUCUAUAUUUUGUUGAACCCGGGGUUGAAUUGAAACAAUAGCUGUUGAUGAGUUUUUAAAUGCUAUAUAUGCCUAACUAGUAUUAAUUGAUGAUAUACUGUAUGAUUUAUAAAGUAUGGUUACAUUUAAUUUGAUCUGUUAAACCUACCCAUUGGAAUGACUUCGAUAGCAACAGUGAAUAUAUUUUGUUAUUAAGAGGUCUCAAUAAUCAUUCUCACGAUAGCACAUUGGUAGUAGUCAGUGACAAAUAUCAAAGCUGGGCUUGGUUAAAACCCUGCAUGGGAGACCAAAUGAAUAGCUGUACUGUAGAUGGAGCAACUCUCCAGUAGGAGGUGCUGCCCAGCCUAUAAUUUUUUUUUUUAAUGGUGGAUAUAACGUCGAAGAUCUGAUGUUGUGUUAAAGGUACAUGUUCGACAUUUUAUACAAGGUUUCUAUGUUGAAAAUGGCUUACAAUGAUGGCAUAAUCCUGUGGUUGGAAUUUCAGCCUCUGAACAACAGUUUGAUGACUUUGACUUUUACAAAUCCAAUGUUAUUUCCAUGUAGAGUCCACAUCACAAUACGUUGACAAAUUACAUUGAAACAAUGUUGAUUCAACCAGUUUGUGCCCAGUGGGUAGGGUCCUAAUGCCUUAAAUGGCUCACAACCAUAAACUACUAACCAAGGACUAUUUUACUUAUUGUUUUGUAUCAAAUGUAACAGAUGCUGCAAUGAUUAAGAAGAUGUCACUAAUAUAUUGUAAUUGUCAUACAUUGAUUAUGUAUGCUUUCGUAACGCAAUUUUCUUCUCAGGUUAUUUGUGGAAAUAACCACAAAUUAUUAAUAAUCACACAUUUAUUCUCAGUAUUACAUUAACAACUUGUCAUAAUUUUCUGGUUACAUGGUUUAUAUUUGCUAGUCGGUUAAUAUAUAUAUAUUUGGUAGGAGGGAGUCUAUUAGUGGAUUUAUCCAUGUAUGAGUUAUUGUGUCCAUACACUCUGGUGAUUUCAGGAAAACUGUGUAAUAACAAAAUACUAACCAGAGAUAAAUGACCUGCUAAUAUAAAUGACAAUCAAAUAAUACUACAUAUUUCUUCUUAUUUUCUUUAAAGUUACAUUAGCUAAAUAACUACAUCAUUAGUAUCAGAUUGGAGUUCCCCCACGUUCAUUAGAUAUUGUAAUAUUUGAAUGGGAAAGUCCUUCUGUGAAACAUCCGUCAAACAGACCUUCUGUAUGUAUGCCUCAAAAUUCCUUUACAUGAUUAAGUCACUAGCCAUAACAAAAUGUAACAUCAUAUUGGAAUUCCAAUCAAACUAAAUGUGCCCUUUGACAUGAAGGUUGAAAUGCAUUGCGGAGUAAUAACAAUCUUUAACUGUACAAUGUUAAUGACAAUCCUAGCAGUCUCUGCUGUGUACAUUGAGUCACUAUCACUUCAUCUGUCACAGUCACUCUCAUGAAGACUGGUGCUGUUCAUUUAGGUUGAAGAGAUGCUUAAAGAAAGUUGUAGAAUGCUUAAAGUAUGUGCUGUUUUACCCUUUUACUAUGUGCAAUGUCAAUUUUGAAGAAAAAAAGUUUCUAGGCAGGUUUGUACUCAUGUAAAAGAGAUAUAGUUGUAUACUAUACUACUAUGUGAAUGAAAUGGAAAUAUUUUUGUAUUAAAAUAUCUUUAACAUUCCUUCAACCAUAAAUAUAAGCAGUAUCUUUACUGAGGUACAGCUUGUAUCUGCUAAAUACUUUGUUAGAAUGACUAAUCCACACUAAAGACUCAGGUCAACUGGUCUGAGAAUGAUGCUGGCAUGAGGGAAAAGGGAGCCAUUCUAUUUUUCAGUAGAACUUGUGUUGGCCUAUUGCUGGGGUCAGCCCAACGUAAACAUUGUUUUAAGUGAUAUGAGCAACACAUUGUUUCAACAUCAUUACUGUGUCAGUUUGUUAUUACUCUAAAGACACAACAUUGACUCUAUUCAAGACCUACAUGCAGAUUUGUUUAGACAACUGUCCUAUUAAUGCUGCAUCAUUUUAAAAUACUGUUUGUUGAUUGUCAGCAAAACGACUCCCUAGGUUGUCCUCCACUCAACCUUAUCAUAAAAACUGUUGUUGGUUCAGUGUGCUCAAUGUCCAAUCAUAAGGUAGACUGCCUUUUGAAGCUGGUUGAAGGAACAUGUAGUGUAUGUUUAAAUAUCAAGCUCAUAGAAUAACAGUAAACCAUGUUCUCACAAGUGUCCAGUGUACUCUCCAGCUAACCAUCGUAUGUAAAGAAUUUGCAUUAGUUGACCCCAUUUGAAACCAGAGGCAGUUAUUCAUUUCCAUUAACCCAGUGCCACAGAUGAUUUCCUACAUUUAAGGUUAUGCUGAGAGCCAUUGUGUGUUUGCUGUGUAUUGCUUCAGUUUAUACAAAUGUUCAUGUUUAUUGGUAUGUGUGUUUGUUCAUUGUGAUUGCUGCGUUAGAUCAAAUGGUACUGGCUGUUUCUAUGAUUCUGUUUAAUCCGUCUCCCCCAGCAGUAGAUUAUGCACUUUUUGUUUCACCGUUUCAGACUAUAUUUUUAUGUUCAUGAAUUCUUCAUCAAGUGUCAUUCUUUUUUUAAAGGCAUCAUGUUACUUUGACUUUUGCAUUUGUGACCUUUAGAGUGGACUGUGCAUCCUUGCAGUAUAUGGGGUGGAGGGUCAAUCAAUGCAUACUGUAAAACAUUUGCCAGGAAAAAGUAAGACAAACAAAAACCGAACCUGGUACAUAUUAGCCAUUGCAUUGCAGAAAACGAAUUGAAAAUAUUGUAUUAUAGAAUGUACAAAACAUGUUGAGAUUAUAUAGUUGUUUAUUUUAUGAGAUGUCAAAUAGAUUGAAUAUAUGUUACAUGAUUUGAAAGUAAAACAAACAGAAGUAUUUUGUAACAGAUUAUUGAAGUGUCUUAUUUGGGGAGGUGAGGUUAUUAUUUUCUUCAGUUCAGCAAGUUGGUGUUAUGGUGUUUCACAGUCUAUUGUAUGGCUUGUUUUUUUCUGUCUGUAUAUACCAUCAAAAAUAAGCUUUAACAUAUUGUUAAUAUUGUUUAAAAAUAAACAAAUAAAAAGUUUACAUUCUGAAACAGCUUGGAUAUUAAUUAUGUGAUAGUGAUAUUGAAUUAUUUAUAAAUCUAUUAAUCUUGAUAAUGUGGUAUCUUUAAAAAUAAAUAUAAAAAAAAACAUGCAUUUUGUGCACUUUAUUCUGCGUGUUUUCAUUCAUGUAUAACUGAAGUUUAUUCUCUCUGAUGUAACUCUGAAAGGAAUCCAGUCCUGUUAAAAUACCCUAUAUAUACAAAAGUAUGUGGACACAACUUCAAAUUAAAGGAUUUGGUUAUUUCAGCCACAACCGUUACUGACAGGUUACUGACAGGUGUAUAAAAUCGAGCACACGGCCAUGCAAUCUCCACAGACAAACAUUGUCAGUAGAAUGGCCUUAUUGAAGAACUCAGUGACUUUCAACGUGGCACUGUCAUAGAAUGCCACCUUUACAACAAGUCAGUUCGUCAGAUAUCUACCCUGCUAGAGCUGCCUCGUGAACUGUAAGUGCUGUUAUUGUGAAGUGGAAACGUCUAGGAGCAACAACGGCCCAGUCACAAAGUGGUAGGCCGCACAAGCUCAAAGAACGGGACCGCCAAGUGCUGAAGCGCAUAAAAAUCGUCUGCCAUCGGUUGCAACACCAAACUGUCUCUGGAAGCAACAUCAGCACAAGAACUGUUCAUCAGGAGCUUCAUGAAAUGGGUUUCCAUGGCCAAGCAGCCACACACAAGCCUAAGAUCACCAUACACAAUGCCAAGCGUCGGCUGGAGUGGUGUAUUGCUCGCCCGCCAUUAAACUCUCUGGAGUGAUGAAUCACCCUUCACCAUCUGGCAGUCCAACAGGCAAAUCUGGAUUUGGCGGAUGCCAGGAGAAUUCUACCUGCCCGAAUACAUAGUACCAACUGUAAAGUUUGGUGGAUGAGGAAUAAUGGUCUGGGGCUGUUUUCAUGGUUUGGGCUAGGCACCUUAGUUCCAGUGAAGGGAAAUCUUAACACUACUGCAAACAGCGACAUUCUACACGAUUCUGUGCUUUCAACUUUGUGGCAACAGUUUGGGGAAAGCCCUUUCCUGUUUCAGCAUGACAAUGCCCAAUGGCACAAAGUGAGGUCCAUAUAGAAAUGGUUUGUCAAGAUUGCUGUGGAAGAACUUGACUGGCCUGCACAGAGCCCUGACCUCAACUCCAUCGAACACCUUUGGGAUUAAUUGGAACGUUGACUGCGAGCCAGGCCUAAUCACCCAACCCCAAUAAUGCUCUUGUGGCUGAAUGGAAGCAAGUCCCUGCAGCAAUGUUCCAACAUCUAGUGAAAUGCCUUCCCAGAAGAGUGGAGGCUGUUGUAGCAGCAAAGGGGUACCAACUCCAUAUUAAUGCCCAUGAUUUUGAAAUGAGAUGUUCGACGGGCAGGUGUCACAUACUUUUGGUCCUGUAACGUUAGUGUAUGUAUGUAGUAGGCUACGUUGUCAGUGCGGCGUCGCUGAUGUGUGGAAUGACAGCUUCCUAUAUUCAAAUCCACUGGCGCCGAAGCAAAAGCUGAACUUUGAUAAAUUCGGCCUACUACCAGAAAGUAUACUGUAGCUACACUUUUCCAACCAACUUGUCGUGAUUUUCAUAAGUCAAAAAGUAGCCAACGUUAGCUAGCUAGCUAAUCAUAAACCGUAAGAACGGAUAUCAUAUCAGUAACAUUAGCAUGCUAGCUAUCUGGCUGGCUAGCAGCUGAGUUAGUUACUACAGUCACGUUUUUCUGCAAGAUUUGAUUUGGCAAGACAUAUACAGCUAGCACUGGGUUGAUGGUUAACGGUAACUCUUGUUUGCGUGGUCAGCUGCUGUACAGUAGUCAGCAAAUGGCUGUUUAAACUGUGUUUACAUAGCUACCUAGGUACUUUUUUUAGCAGCUAACGUUAGCUAACUUGUUGUAAACAAACCCAUUUCGCCCAGCGCACGGUCUGUUAUGCACAUUAAUGAACCAUACCUGAAGAAGUUGAAAAAACAUCGAAUCUGACAUAUUUCUUACUCUACUUUGGGACAGUUCUUUACAGCAAAAACUCAUACACUUCAAAUUGACAAAACUGAUGCUGUUAUUUGACUUCAGAGAUAUUUGACACAACAAAAACCUUACAGCUAAGACACGACAGUGAGUGAGUCUGGCAAGCCACGUGCAUACCGUAGUUUAAAUGAUCUGGUCCACAAAAACCUUCUUCGCAGUGGAAUUUAUAAUAACAUUACCCAGUGCUCAUUUGUUUACAAUAAGAAAUUAUUUGGUCAGGGUUGUGUUUACACUGAGAAGAUUGAACAUGGUUCACUUAAGAAGUCUAAUGUUUUGCGCAAGAUUAAGGACUUGGAUUCCCUCCCCAUGGUUACCAAGGAUGGAUUUAGAAACAUUGUGGCAUUGCAAAGUGAUGCACCCCUGCAGAUGGGCCACAAACAUUACCUGUCUCUUUCAGGAAUAAUGAGGGUCCUGAAGGCAGAGUAUAGGUUCUGGAUGGUAAAAUUAGAAUUUCAGUUGCUAACUAUUGUGAGAAUUACAAUGGUGAUUACCUGAACCAGACUUACUUCGAGGUCGCAGAUCAACGUGUAGAAUGAGCUGUGUCCAGAGUGGUACCAGAGACUGAAUGUUGGAACUGUGCUCUACCUCCAAAACUACACCCUCAAGCAGAGUAAUCCAAACAGGUCUCGACCUGACAUAGACAACCACAGAAUGAAGAGCUUUCACUCAGUAGGACAGCAUUAUGCUGAAGAAGACUGUUGUUGGUGGCCAUUAUUUCUUCCCUCACACCCCUCAGAUAUUCACACAGUCAGUGGCAGAUGGCUCAGCUCAAGUUCUUCUGGUUGCUGCAAAUUACCUAAAGAGGGAGAUGGAUGGUCUGCAUUAUUGUCCACACAAGCAGCUGGCAAUCCAAGGUCAGAUCAUUGCUGUGCAAUAUGUGGCAUGGCCAGAGGAGGCACUGUCAGACCAGGUAGGCUUUAUUGCUUGCUUGCUUUACAGUGGGUUAUACAAUGAACUUAAGGAGGAUCUUUUGGUCAGCUGUCCUGCCAAAAUCAAAAUUUUAACAGUCUUGAUGAAAAUAACCCAUUAUGUGACAUUUUAUCAGGUAACAAUAAUGUAAAUGCCUGUGCCAAAGCCUGCCACCUUAUCCUCCAACGGAUACUUCAUUUUUAUAAGGGCCCAAUUGUCCUUUUAUCCGCUGUACUUUAUGCAUAAAUGUGUAUAGAAUAUAUAUUACGCCUGUACCAUGUUUGCCUAUGAUUGUUUUUAGUGUUUCAAAACUCAAUUUGAGUGGUCCACAAUGUGGUUUAAAAAAGAAAAUCUGUAUUAUAGUAUCAUAGUGGAGUGACACGUCAAUACAUUUUUCUAACUCUAGAUACAUUGAGUACACAAAACAUUAAGAACACAUGCUCUGUCCAUGACAGACUGACCAGUUCAAUGCAAUGAUCCCUCAUUGAUGUCACUUGUUAAAUCCACUUCAAUCAAUGUAUAUGAAGCGGAGGUUAAAACAUGAUUUUUAAGCUUUGAGACAUUUUAAUUUAACCCUUAUUUUACCAGGUAAGUUGACUGAGAACACAUUCUCAUUUACAGCAAUGACCUGGAGUAUAGUUACAGAGGAGAUAAAUGAGCCAAUUGGAAUGAAGGCCAGAUUGGGAAUUUAGCCAGGAUACCAGGGUUAACGCCCCUACUCUUACAAUAAAUGCCAUGGGAUCUUUAGUGACCACAGAGAGUCAGGACACCCAUUUAACGUCCCAUCUGAAAGACGACAUCCUACUCAGGACAAUGUUCCUAAUCACUGCCCUAGGGCAUUGGGAUAUUUGUUGUUUGUUUUUUUGACCAAAGGAAACAGUGCCUCCUACUGGCCCUCUAACACCACUUCCAGCAGCAUCUGGCAAGCCAGCAGUAUGCUGCAGGGUGGUGUGCUGCAGGGUGGUGUGCUGCAGGGUGGUGUGCUGCAGGGUGGUGUGCUGCAGGGUGGUGUGCUGCAGGGUGGUUUGCUGUGCAUGUGUGCCAUUCAGGGGGGUGAAUGGGCAAGACAAAAGAUUUAAGUGCCUUUGAACAGGGUAUGGUAGUAGGUGCCAGGCACACCGGUUUGUGUCAAGAACUGCAACACUGCUGGGUUUUUCACGCUCAACAGUUUCCCAUGUUUAUCAAGAAUGGUCCACUACUCAAUGGACUUCAAGCCAACUUAACACAACUGUGGGAAGCAUUGGAGUCAACAUGGGCCAGCAUCCCUGUGGAAUGGUUUUGACGCCUUAUAGCGGUGCGCAACUCAAUAUUAGGAAGGUGUUCCUAAUGUUUUCUAUACUCAGUGCAUAUAACACAUUUCAUGUUAUUUUAACACACUAAUUCUCUUUUUCUAAAGUCGAUGCAUUGUUUUUUUUUUACAAGAAAAGGAACAGGACAGGAUACAUUGAAAGACAAAAAAACAACAGUUGCCUGUACAUAACUUUAUAGGAAUGAUUUGGCAUUGGUAAGUCAAGUUUAGAAUACGGUUCAGUCUGUGGGUGAGCCUGUUGUGGCUGUACCUAAUCCACAAAGUGAUCAGAAAACUGUAGACGUAACUGAAACACAGGGAAACAGCACCAUCUGGUGUACAGAGCUCACUCAGCAGACGGGGGAAAAACAACCCAAGAAGAGAGUGAUGAAGCAAUGCUACAUCACUCGUGCCAGGAUGCAAGAGAAAAGAGAAGCUGGCCGUGGCUUUACAGAAUAGGAGCUAGUGGAGCAGGAAGAGGAGAGUGAUUCUGAAUCAGAGGAAGAAGUUGGUCCUCUAGAAGGAAACCCAGACCAAACCAGAGCCAGUGAACAACAAAGUCCAUCAGAAUGACGGCGCUCCAAGAGAGAGUGGUUACCUACUGUGGAUGGAUCAUCGGGGAAAGCAGCUCGUGGCUGAAGCAGAGAUGAGAAGUGUCAGAAUAUUUGGGUCAAUGACGAAUAAGGUUUUCAAAAACAUUUUAAAAGGGAAAAAUAUUAAUUUCGAAACAGUUUUUAUGUUCCCUUGAGUGUUACUUACAAUUUGUAUGCACAUUCAGGAUUUGUCGCUUUUUAUGCAACUUCAAUUUACCACCUAAAAAAGUCAUCCUGUGUGACCAUUCAUUUUUUUAUAUAAAAACUGUUUUCUGACCAUUAUUUCUAGCAAAGAAGAGUAAAAUAUGAAUAUUAACAUGGUCUCAGUUAUUCAACAUCAAAGAAGUUAAAAAUUACAGUAUAAUUUUUACAUUUUUGUACUUUUCACUGGACGAUCCCACAUUUUGAAUGACUGUCAACUAAAACUUCUGUUAGAGAAAUUAAAUCCAUAUACAAUUUUACAAAAAUGCAUUUUUCUCUUAUAGACGAGAUUCUUUCUGCAUUUUUUUAGACAAUGAAAUAAUGCAAUUGUUUUUAACCAUUAAGUACUGAAUUAUCAUUGCUGGUUGCACCGAAUGACUAUUAUUUUACAGUGUCAUUUUUUUAGGCAGAUCUCUUUCCCUCUUACAGAAACACACACAUACAUAAACAGUAUGGUUUCUUAUUCAACAACAAUGAUGCCUUUAAUGCUUAAUAAAUUACAAAAAAUGUGACUCAAAUGUUUAUCACGCAGAAACAUUUCAUCAUGAACAUGGCAAUGAACUUCUAAAAAUGAUUACAAUUCUGCAUUAUGAUACAUUUUUCAAACAAUGUUAAAACAGUUAAGAAUCAAUGUAAUACAUACAUAGUAAAGUUCUUGAAGUACAGUAAUG
Molecule: long non-coding RNA, 9516 nt
Filed under: Salmo salar (Atlantic salmon)
Lineage: Eukaryota; Metazoa; Chordata; Actinopteri; Salmoniformes; Salmonidae
Description: lncRNA (ENSSSAG00000096948.1)
Source: RNAcentral